GAGGGUGGAUAAGAGACACCUGCAGCGUGGCAGCCUCGGCAGAGCUCUGGGUGUCUGCACCAUGGCCUGCGCCCCACUCCUCCUCCUCACCCUCCUCCUUCACUGCACAGGGUCCCUGUCCCAGCCUGUGCUGACCCAGCCGCCCUCUGCAUCUGCCUCCCCGGGAGCCUCGGCCAAGCUCACCUGCACCCUGAGCAGUGGGUACAGCAACUAUGGCAUUACGUGGCAUCAGCAGCACCCAGAGAAGUCCCCCCGGUACUUGAUGUAUGUUUACAGUGAUGGAAGCCAGAGCAAGGGGGACGGGGUCCCCGAUCGCUUCUCGGGCUCCAGCUCCGGGGCUGACCGCUACUUAACCAUCUCCAACGUCCAGCCUGAGGACGAGGCUGACUAUCACUGUCAGACCUGGGACAGUGGUGUUAAUCACAGAACUGGUGUGACAGUGAAGUCAGACACUUAG
Non-coding RNA from Microcebus murinus (gray mouse lemur), 457 nucleotides. NCBI's taxonomy places the organism in Eukaryota, Metazoa, Chordata, Mammalia, Primates, Cheirogaleidae. The record is from the annotation of a RefSeq genome assembly.